Molecule: ribosomal RNA, 274 nt
Filed under: uncultured bacterium
Lineage: Bacteria
Description: partial 16S ribosomal RNA
Rfam family: Bacterial small subunit ribosomal RNA
Source: RNAcentral
AUACAGAGGGUGCGGGCGUUAAUCGGAAUUACUGGGCGUAAAGCGCGCGUAGGCGGCUUAUUAAGUCAGAUGUGAAAUCCCCGGGCUCAACCUGGGAACUGCAUCUGAUACUGGUAAGCUAGAGUUUUGGAGAGGGAAGUAGAAUUUCAGGUGUAGCGGUGAAAUGCAUAGAGAUCUGAAGGAAUACCAGUGGCGAAGGCGACUUCCUGGCCAAAAACUGACGCUGAGGUGCGAAAGCGUGGGUAGCAAACGGGAUUAGAAACCCCAGUAGUCC